GUGGCGAGCGGCGGACGGGUGAGUAAUGCCUAGGGAUCUGCCCAGUCGAGGGGGAUAACAGUUGGAAACGACUGCUAAUACCGCAUACGCCCUACGGGGGAAAGAGGGGGACCUUCGGGCCUCUCGCGAUUGGAUGAACCUAGGUGGGAUUAGCUAGUUGGUGAGGUAAUGGCUCACCAAGGCGACGAUCCCUAGCUGUUCUGAGAGGAUGAUCAGCCACACUGGGACUGAGACACGGCCCAGACUCCUACGGGAGGCAGCAGUGGGGAAUAUUGCACAAUGGGGGAAACCCUGAUGCAGCCAUGCCGCGUGUGUGAAGAAGGCCUUCGGGUUGUAAAGCACUUUCAGUAGGGAGGAAAGGGUGAGUCUUAAUACGGCUCAUCUGUGACGUUACCUACAGAAGAAGGACCGGCUAACUCCGUGCCAGCCGCCG
Molecule: ribosomal RNA, 433 nt
Filed under: Shewanella sp. 4-CSUMB
Lineage: Bacteria; Pseudomonadati; Pseudomonadota; Gammaproteobacteria; Alteromonadales; Shewanellaceae
Description: bacterial SSU rRNA
Rfam family: Bacterial small subunit ribosomal RNA
Source: RNAcentral